AGAAAGAAGCAAAAGAAGAAGAAGAAGGAGAAGAAGAAGGAAGGUACGGCAGUUGUCCUCUCCAAGAUAAAGGAUGAGAAACACCGUCAGCUGCUUACCCUCGAACACCUCCGUAGCUCCGCAUUAAUUCUCUGUCCACUCUCGAAGGCUCUCGAGUAAAUUUCGGCGGCGGCGACGAUGAGUUCAUUUCUCUUUUUCAGUGAGCCGACAUCGCUUUUGUUUUA
This is a non-coding RNA of Caenorhabditis elegans, 224 nucleotides long. The record is from Ensembl. NCBI's taxonomy places the organism in Eukaryota, Metazoa, Nematoda, Chromadorea, Rhabditida, Rhabditidae.